This 253-nucleotide ribosomal RNA is filed under the name uncultured bacterium. RNAcentral's name for it is "partial 16S ribosomal RNA". It matches the Rfam family "Bacterial small subunit ribosomal RNA", at positions 524 to 776 of the family's 1533-position model. The record is from RNAcentral.
UACGAAGGGGGCUAGCGUUGUUCGGAAUUACUGGGCGUAAAGCGCGCGUAGGCGGAUCGCUAAGUCAGGGGUGAAAGCCUGGAGCUCAACUCCAGAACUGCCUUUGAAACUACAUCGCUAGAAUCAUGGAGAGGUUAGUGGAAUUCCGAGUGUAGAGGUGAAAUUCGUAGAUAUUCGGAAGAACACCAGUGGCGAAGGCGACUAACUGGACAUGUAUUGACGCUGAGGUGCGAAAGCGUGGGGAGCAAACAGG